AGACCGGUAGCUCAGUCAGGCAAGAGCGCGCGGCUCAUAAUCGCGAGGAUGGCCGUUCGAAUCGGCCCCGGUCUACCA
Molecule: transfer RNA, 78 nt
Filed under: Gammaproteobacteria bacterium
Lineage: Bacteria; Pseudomonadati; Pseudomonadota; Gammaproteobacteria
Description: tRNA-Met
Rfam family: tRNA
About the family: Transfer RNA (tRNA) molecules are approximately 80 nucleotides in length. Their secondary structure includes four short double-helical elements and three loops (D, anti-codon, and T loops).
Source: RNAcentral